GACACUAGUGUCCGUGUAAGGUAUUAGGUAUGCAUCCUGGAUCCAGCAAGAAGAAGCACGCGGCCAAAACCAAAAUCAAAGAGUAUUAUUGGACGCAAAACCUAAAUCAAAAUCGCUUCAGUUCAUACAGCAGAUCGGAUAAAGUGAUAAACAAUAAACUCAUCAAGUUUGAUAUGCAGCUGAAUCAUGACGCAUGGGUUAACCUAUCAACACGUACUACUUGUAAAUGAGUGCAAAGUAAAUGUUGCU
Molecule: non-coding RNA, 249 nt
Organism: Arachis ipaensis
Lineage: Eukaryota; Viridiplantae; Streptophyta; Magnoliopsida; Fabales; Fabaceae
Source: RefSeq, a predicted model, not a curated record